Molecule: long non-coding RNA, 635 nt
Organism: Panicum virgatum (switchgrass)
Lineage: Eukaryota; Viridiplantae; Streptophyta; Magnoliopsida; Poales; Poaceae
Exons: 4
Source: RefSeq, a predicted model, not a curated record
CUUAACUAGUUCUAGUUUAUUUGGAGCAUGGCAGAUGUGAUUUCUGGAUGGAUAUUGGUUGAGAUUUUUUUUCAAUCAACUGCUGUUUUACUCCCCGCUUGGUGCGAUGGUGCCACCGCUGCCUGCUGGGAUGACUGGAUCUACCCUGGUGCCAACGACUAUUCGACAAUAUGCUGAAUGCCAAGACCUCCUUGCGAAACUGUCAGACACUCUCCCAGAUGAUUGGAUUUCCACACUCCGUGUGAGAUUCUAUCACAAGUCCCUGAUUGUGUGGCUAACAAAUGCGGACCGAAUUAGGUGCAGGGAUUGAACCGAUCCGUACAGUUUCCUACCAUUUAAGCUGGGCAAGCACUUAUCAAGCUGCAGCUGGCAGUGCACCGGAUGAAUUUUGCACAUGGACAUGAAGUGCAUCAGAGAAGUAUUAUCUACGGAUGUGGAGAGCGAGGGUAAGAAUGUGGAAAGCCAUCAGGGAGGUUGCCAAGUGAAAUGACACGACAUCUGCAAAGGUGCGACUAGUUUAAUGUUACAUGUUUAUUUCAGUUCAUCAGCUCCUAGCACAUAUCUCAUUUAAUGUGUACCUGCACUUCUAUAUGCUUAGUCGUUCACAUAUCACAAAUCUGCUGGAGAGGGAUCGC